Molecule: transfer RNA, 121 nt
Filed under: Actinomortierella ambigua
Lineage: Eukaryota; Fungi; Mortierellomycota; Mortierellomycetes; Mortierellales; Mortierellaceae
Rfam family: tRNA
About the family: Transfer RNA (tRNA) molecules are approximately 80 nucleotides in length. Their secondary structure includes four short double-helical elements and three loops (D, anti-codon, and T loops).
Source: Rfam by way of RNAcentral
GGCGAGGUGGCAGAGUGGUCUAAUGCGCUUCAUCUACAUCCGAUUUUUCAGCUUCCAGCUCUAGAAUCGCUAACCAUGAAGUAUACUGCGGUAUUCGAAGGUUCGAAUCCUUCCCUUGCCU